ACUGAGAUUACAUAUAGAUAGAAUGCCUUCCAAUGUAAGGGAGGCUCACCAACUUUGAACUCAUGAAACAAUCUACUGCUGCUGCAUUGGACCGCAAGACUAAGCCUCAGAUCCUACAUUAUAAGAUAAUGUAGCCGCCACGAAGGACGGUCAAUACCUGAAAUGUAUUGAUAUACAGAACUAACAAAAAACAACAUAUAUUUUAUAUAAAAUAGUCGAGAGCAUUAAGAAAACAAUUUAUCAUAAUAGGUAUCAAAACACAUUGGCAUAAUUCAGUGAGCUUCAGAACAUCCUUGUAAGUUAUGACUCAACUCUUUGUUUUACUUCUG
Molecule: long non-coding RNA, 329 nt
Filed under: Capsicum annuum
Lineage: Eukaryota; Viridiplantae; Streptophyta; Magnoliopsida; Solanales; Solanaceae
Description: long non-coding RNA (CANN_LNC002865)
Source: RNAcentral